This 484-nucleotide ribosomal RNA is filed under the name uncultured bacterium. RNAcentral's name for it is "partial 16S ribosomal RNA". The stretch from base 55 to 484 matches the Rfam family "Bacterial small subunit ribosomal RNA", at positions 39 to 507 of the family's 1533-position model. The record is from RNAcentral.
GGGGGGCGGGGGGGGGGGGGGGGGGGGAGGGGGGGCGGGGGGGGGGGGGGGGGGGGGGCGGGGGUGGGGCGGGGGGCGGGGGAGGAAUGCCGGGGAAUCGGGCUGGUGGGGGGGGGUGACGUCCGGAGACGGGCGCUAAUACCGCCGACGUCCUGAGGGAGAAAGUGGGGGAUCUUGGGACAUCACGCUAUGAGAGGAGCGUAGGUCGGAUUAGCGAGUUGGUGGGGUAAAGGCCUACCAAGGCGACGAUCCGUAACAGUUCUGAGAGGAUGAUCAGUCGCACUGGAACUGAGCCACGGUCCAGACUCCUACGGGAGGCAGCAGUGGGGAAUAUUGGCCAAAGGGCGAAAGCCUGAUCCAGCCAUGCCGCGUGUGUGAAGCAGGUCUUCGGAUUGUAAAGCACUUUAAGUUGGGAGGAAGGGCAGUAAGUUAAUACCUUGCUGUUUUGACGUUACCAACAGAAUAAGCACCGGCUAACUUCGUG